This 258-nucleotide long non-coding RNA is filed under the name Elaeis guineensis (African oil palm). Its description in RNAcentral is "long non-coding RNA (EGUI_LNC004075)". Lineage: Eukaryota; Viridiplantae; Streptophyta; Magnoliopsida; Arecales; Arecaceae. The record is from RNAcentral.
CAACUGCGCCCCUCGAGGACCCCCGCAGCCCCCGUGGUUCGACCCUUGAGGCUCUCUGGCAGGCGGAGGAAGGGUGGGGGUGCGAUGGCAGGGUCGGAGGUGGAACAAAUUGUCGGAGCCCCCCAGGACGCGAUAGAGGAGGUCAUAGAGAAACGCGGACGGAGCUCGCCGGCGAUGGUGACCUUUCCGGAUGCCUUUCGCCGAAAAGUCGAGAGCUUUCCCCCACCACUCAAGCUGGAAGUCGAAGAAACCGCGGAA